This 261-nucleotide ribosomal RNA is filed under the name uncultured prokaryote. RNAcentral describes it as "partial 16S ribosomal RNA". It matches the Rfam family "Bacterial small subunit ribosomal RNA", at positions 917 to 1178 of the family's 1533-position model. The record is from RNAcentral.
GGGCCCGCACAAGCGGUGGAGCAUGUGGUUUAAUUCGAAGCAACGCGAAGAACCUUACCAGGUCUUGACAUACUCGUGCUAUUCCUAGAGAUAGGAAGUUCCUUCGGAACAUCGGUGACAGGUGGUGCAUGGUUGUCGUCAGCUCGUGUCGUGAGAUGUUGGGUUAAGUCCCGCAACGAGCGCAACCCCCUAUUGUUAAUUGCCAUCAUUAAGUUGGGCACUCUAAGUUGACUGCCGGUGACAAACCGGAGGAAGGUGGGG